Long non-coding RNA from Chenopodium quinoa (quinoa), 252 nucleotides. RefSeq lists it as uncharacterized. The transcript is spliced from 3 exons. The record is from RefSeq and is a predicted model, not a curated record. NCBI's taxonomy places the organism in Eukaryota, Viridiplantae, Streptophyta, Magnoliopsida, Caryophyllales, Amaranthaceae.
AGAAACUGGGUGCCCAAACAUGAAUUUUUUAGGGACGAAUGCUUCUUGUCCGCUUGUGGUCUAAGCAGCAUGUUUAAAAAACAAGAAGCCAAGAAAAUGCUGCCCACCGAGAAGACACCGGCUAGGUCGGCUGCCGACAUCCGGAAAGCCAAUCUCGAGAAAAAACUUGCUGCCCAGGCGGCGAGGAAGGACGGGAAGCAGAUGCCCCGGUCCCUUCAAAAACAGGUCAGGCCUCCGCCGACCCAACAAGAG